Molecule: ribosomal RNA, 497 nt
Filed under: uncultured bacterium
Lineage: Bacteria
Description: partial 16S ribosomal RNA
Rfam family: Bacterial small subunit ribosomal RNA
Source: RNAcentral
GAUGAACGCUGGCGGCGUGCCUAAUACAUGCAAGUCGAGCGAACAGACGAGGAGCUUGCUCCUCUGACGUUAGCGGCGGACGGGUGAGUAACACGUGGAUAACCUACCUAUAAGACUGGGAUAACUUCGGGAAACCGGAGCUAAUACCGGAUAAUAUAUUGAACCGCAUGGUUCAAUAGUGAAAGACGGUUUCGCUGUCACUUAUAGAUGGAUCCGCGCCGCAUUAGCUAGUUGGUAAGGUAACGGCUUACCAAGGCAACGAUGCGUAGCCGACCUGAGAGGGUGAUCGGCCACACUGGAACUGAGACACGGUCCAGACUCCUACGGGAGGCAGCAGUAGGGAAUCUUCCGCAAUGGGCGAAAGCCUGACGGAGCAACGCCGAGUGAGUGAUGAAGGUCUUCGGAUCGUAAAACUCUGUUAUUAGGGAAGAACAAAUGUGUAAGUAACUAUGCACGUCUUGACGGUACCUAAUCAGAAAGCCACGGCUAACUACGUG